Molecule: long non-coding RNA, 2712 nt
Organism: Physeter macrocephalus (sperm whale)
Lineage: Eukaryota; Metazoa; Chordata; Mammalia; Artiodactyla; Physeteridae
Exons: 4
Source: RefSeq, a predicted model, not a curated record
CAGCAGCAUCCGUGUUCACAGGCUGUUUCCAGGGUGUUCAUCUGGCUCCAAGAGCGUCCUGUGGAAUUCCCGGGGAGGCUCCCAGACGCCCCAUCCUUAGAAAAGGCCUGGAAGAAGUGUACAAAUGGAGGAGGAUGGUAAAUUAAGCAGCAGCUGUGACUCCCUGCAGAGAGCUGAGGAUACCCACGUCAGAGUCUCCCAACAGAAGAGAACUUUCUGGUGGCAACAUGGAAGACAGAGAAGAACUGGCAGAGAGACAAGUGACUGGGAAAACUUUUAGCAGGCAUUGCUCAGGGGUGACUAAGAGUCUGAAGUGAGGCUUGUAGGAUUGAUGACCUAUUUACUAUAAGGGGGCUGAGGAUUCCAGUUAGAAAGAUGUGUGCACUGGGAUGAAGAAGAGAGGCGGGGGUGAGGGAGAGAGGGUGACAGGGGAUGCAGGGCGUUCUUGUUUCAAAAUAUUGAGAGGCUGCAGACGUUCAGCAGGAGCUGUACGCAGGCAGCUCAGCGCCCGGGCCCCAGCCCAGGCCUGACGCCGUGGGCCAAGCACACGCGGCAUCUUGCAUCUGUGGCCACACGGGACACUAAAAAUCCAUGUCAUGAAGACGGAAGGAAAAGGAAUUCAUUAGUCUUUUACCCAUUUCUCUGAUCCACUGUCUGCUUCUUGAAAAAAAAAAAAAAAAAUCAAAGGACUGAAAACUCAAGACUAAGCCAGAUAAAAUCUGGGUUUGGCCUCCCAUUGUAACUGAAAAUUUUCACUUUGCCCUAUGCUGGAGCAUAGAUUUGAAGUUAUUCAAAUCUUUCCAAAUAUGAAAGAAUAAAAAUCCACUUAUGCAUGAAAAGUGGUACUAGCCCUGAGAGAAAGUUUAAGCUACAGCAACCUUGGAACUGUUGUGGAAAAUACAUAUUCAGAUUUUUAGCAACGUUUUAAAAAAUAAUAAAAGAAAACCCGGCGGAGUGUUUGGUGGAAUAAAACUAUAAAAAACAGACCAGCAAAUGCCCAUCUCUGCAUCUCUGUGUCUAAAGGGCAGAUGAGAGAGAGCUCAUCCCACACUCAAUCCCCCAACUUCUUUCUUUUUUCUUUGAGGUAUGGUCGACAUGCAAAAAGGUGAACAUAUUUAACAUCUACAACUUGAUGAGUUUAGAAAUACAUAUACACCGUGAAGCCAUCACCACAAUAUAUGCCAUAAACCUAUCCAUCACCUCCAAGCAUUUCCUCCUGCCCUCUGAAUUUGUGAUGACACAACAUAAGACCUCCACUCAGCAAAUUUGCCAACCUGAAGCAGGGCUGAUCCCUUUCGGGACCCUCGACCACAAGCCCCCAUGGAGGCAAGUUCUGAGGGGGUGCGUGUGUGAAGCCAGGCAAAGCUCUGAAAUGCCACCUCCCCUGGUCCUCCUCACCCCAGCUUUGGUACCAGUUCCUUCCACCUUGAUAGGUACACAGAGGUGUUAACAUUUGGAAAAUCUCAGGGUAAAAAGUUCUCCUUCGGGCUUCCCUGGUGGCGCACUGGUUGAGAGUCCGCCUGCCGAUGCAGGAGACGGGUUCGUGCCCCGGUCCGGGAGGAUCCCACAUGCCGCGGAGCGGCUGGGCCCGUGAGCCAUGGCCGCUGAGCCUGCGCGUCCGGAGCCUGUGCUCCGCAACGGGAGAGGCCACAACAGUGAGAGGCCCGCGUACCGCAAAAAAAAAAAAAAAAAGUUCUCCUUCUAUUAUAGAGUUUGAGGCACUAGCAACUAGGAGAUGGGGAGAAACCAACACCAGCAUGGCACUGCUCAGGGCCCGACGUGACAGGUGAGUCCAGCCCCCAAAUGGCCAAAACCCCAUCAAGGAGGUGGUGAUGGUGAGAAUGAAAAGAGGGUCUCCUAUUAAAGAAAACGUGGCAUGUGGAGUACCCACUUCCUGCUGAUUUCCCUAAUCAAACAUUAGGAACAGUUGUCAGGAGGCAAAGGCAAAAUCUCACCAAAAAUUCAAGUGUCUGCUGCCACAUGCUCAGGAAAGGCCUUAAAGUCUUUAGAUGUCAGGAAUGUCAGAAUCUGAAACCCAUGAAGAAGCUUAAAUCUUAAAGCUGGCUCCUAAUCCUUCACGGGGUUUGCCUCGAUGACUGUACCUCUGCAGUGGUGCAGAGGAGAGCGUGGCAGGCACAGGAAAUGCUCUUUUGGUUUUAGGCAAAUCCUUUCCCACACAUACUCUGCCAUCUCUGUCAUCUGAAGCCUAUCUCUUAUCUACAGAGUCAAAUGAAUCUUCAGACAAACCUCCAAACAGGCAUCCUCUGAGGAUGGCAGCUCACAGGAGGUUCCUCUCCUUAGUGGAAACCCUGCAUCCUAUCCUUUUAGGACUCAGCUUAACUCCCUCAUUCUCUCCCAAGGUACACUCUUACAGACUCCAGACAGCUCUUCCAACUUCCCCCAGUAGAGCUGGAAGAUGGGCAAGGAUGCAGGCUGUCUGUCUUGAAAGUUAGGACUCAGCUGACACAGUGUGAAUACGGAAGAUUUCCAGGCAGUGGAAACUUUAUAACGAGACAUGCUGAUUCUCUGACUAACACAGCUGGCCUCAGCUCCAUUUCCGAAAUUGGUGGAGGAGCCGCUGAAGGUCCAGGCUGCUGCACGGUCCAGCUUCCAAAAGAAUAAGUCUUCUUUCCGAGCCACAAGUCUGUGGAAAUGGGGACGAGCUUUCUCCAAACUCUGUGGGCAGAAGUGCUUGACAUGAAGCCAGCCCCA